UCCGGUUUGUCACCGGCAGUCUCCUUAGAGUUCCCGCCAUUACGCGCUGGCAACUAAGGACAAGGGUUGCGCUCGUUACGGGACUUAACCCAACAUCUCACGACACGAGCUGACGACAGCCAUGCAGCACCUGUCACUUGGCUCCCGAAGGCACCAAAGCAUCUCUGCUAAGUUCCAAGGAUGUCAAGGCCUGGUAAGGUUCUUCGCGUUGCGUCGAAUUAAACCACAUGCUCCACCGCUUGUGCGGGCCCCCGUCAAUUCAUUUGAGUUUUAACCUUGCGGCCGUACUCCCCAGGCGGUCUACUUAGUGCGUUAGCUGCGCCACUAAGAGCUCAAGGCUCCCAACGGCUAGUAGACAUCGUUUACGGCGUGGACUAC
This 378-nucleotide unclassified non-coding RNA is filed under the name uncultured Cellvibrionales bacterium. RNAcentral's name for it is "contains 16S-23S intergenic spacer region". The record is from RNAcentral. Lineage: Bacteria; Pseudomonadati; Pseudomonadota; Gammaproteobacteria; Cellvibrionales.